This 253-nucleotide ribosomal RNA is filed under the name uncultured bacterium. RNAcentral describes it as "partial 16S ribosomal RNA". It matches the Rfam family "Bacterial small subunit ribosomal RNA", at positions 524 to 776 of the family's 1533-position model. The record is from RNAcentral.
UACAGAGGUCCCAAGCGUUGUUCGGAUUUACUGGGCGUAAAGAGCGCGCAGGCGGUCGUUCAAGUCGAGUGUGAAAGCCCCCGGCUCAACCGGGGAGAGUCACUCGAUACUGAUCGACUCGAAGGCAGGAGAGGGAAGCGGAAUUCCCGGUGUAGUGGUGAAAUGCGUAGAUAUCGGGAGGAACACCAGUGGCGAAGGCGGCUUCCUGGCCUGUUCUUGACGCUGAGGCGCGAAAGCUAGGGGAGCAAACGGG